UGGUGAGGAGUGAAAGGAGACCCCGACUACCCAACUUCUCAUCUCUAUGGUCUUGGAAAAACCAAGAGAGAGAUGAACAAGGGAUGAAAACAUACUCCACAUGGACUCAAUAAAUCUUGGGUGAAAUGAUGCUGUCUGACGAGGUAAAUAAAAAAUGGAGCACUCAAGCACAAGCACUGGGGAUGAGAUGAGGACACACCAAUUACCAGGACUUCUGCCUGCUUUUCUUUGUCGACAUAAAACAUCAAGGGGCAUAUGCUUCAUUUGGGGAGACAGAUACUGAUUAAAUAAGUGCCACGAAGGAAGAAGAAAGGACUCCUA
This is a long non-coding RNA of Symphalangus syndactylus (siamang), 321 nucleotides long. RefSeq lists it as uncharacterized. NCBI's taxonomy places the organism in Eukaryota, Metazoa, Chordata, Mammalia, Primates, Hylobatidae. The record is from RefSeq and is a predicted model, not a curated record.